RNAcentral lists this ribosomal RNA (255 nucleotides) under uncultured bacterium. RNAcentral's name for it is "partial 16S ribosomal RNA". It matches the Rfam family "Bacterial small subunit ribosomal RNA", at positions 524 to 776 of the family's 1533-position model. The record is from RNAcentral.
UACGGGGGGGGGCAAGCGUUGUUCGGACUUACUGGGCGUAAAGGGUUCGUAGGUGGCCAACUAAGUCAGACGUGAAAUCCCUCAGCUUAACCGGGGAACUGCGUCUGAUACUGGACGGCUUGAGUUUGGGAGAGGGAUGCGGAAUUCCAGGUGUAGCGGUGAAAUGCGUAGAUAUCUGGAGGAACACCGGUGGCGAAGGCGGCAUCCUGGACCAACACUGACGCUGAGUGAGCGAAAGCCAGGGGAGCAAACGGG